Long non-coding RNA from Aethalodelphis obliquidens (Pacific white-sided dolphin), 1074 nucleotides. RefSeq lists it as uncharacterized. The transcript is spliced from 3 exons. NCBI's taxonomy places the organism in Eukaryota, Metazoa, Chordata, Mammalia, Artiodactyla, Delphinidae. The record is from RefSeq and is a predicted model, not a curated record.
GAAUUCUUUUAUUUUUUUAAUAAUUAGUUUUAUUGUUACAAAGCAAUGAAGACUUUCAAUAGGAGUGUAAAGGUUAAAGCCACUGCUAAAUGUCUUUGUUAAUGUUUUUUGUGGUUUUUUUUCCAUCAAUACUGUUUAUGGCAAACACUACUGGCUGGCUGAACCAAUACCCAUCCAUUUCAGCUAGUGAUGACCAUGUAAUACAUUUGUGGGUCAGAGCUAUAUAAGUAGAAGUUUGUUAUGUAAGGGGUUUGCUUUCCUGAUAAAAAGAGGUACAUUGAUCUGGUGCCGCAUUCUCACCUUUAUGUCUUUUGUUCCUUCUUCUCCUGUCUGGAAUGCAGACCCAGAUACACAGCAUCACUUUACAAUCAGGUGGCAGUAAGUAUGAGUACAUAAGCCUUGCCACUGAAGACGGUGGGGUAUGACGUUAAAAAAGAGCCAAAGUCCCCACAUAGCAUCUUUGAGAAGCUGAACUAACUUCCCAUCUCAAGACUUAACUGUUCUGUGUGAAAGACGAAUCCCUGUUUGCUUAAACUUCUCUUUCUGUUUUCUGUUAUUUGAAGCUGCAUCCACCCAUUCCUAAUCAGUUUACACUUUUAGACUUUUCAGUUAUCUGCCAUUAAUUGAAUGCUUAUACUGUGCCAGGCGCAGUGCUAAGUAUUUACAUAUGUUAAUUUAAUUCACAGGACAGCCAUAAGGAAAGUAACACUUUAUUACAGAUGACAUACUGGCAUACAGGAUGGAUGGAUCCCUGUGUGACUGGAAUGGUUUCAUCAGAUAGAGAAACUGAAGCAGAGAAAUGUUAAGCAACUUUGCAUAGCUAAUAUAUCUGCAAAGACCACAGCUGUGUUAUCAGGACCUCAACACUGUCGCUUGUUAAUUUGGAUGAGUUACUGUAAUGCUCAGAGCCUCUGUGUCUUCAUUUCUAAAUGACAAGAACAACUGGCUUUCACAGGGAAAGAAACAAGCACAACUGAUUUUGACUUUGGUAAGUAACAUAGGUCAAGGAGCAAGAAGAGAGCAAGGCUUCCCUGGUGGCGCAGUGGUUGAGAGUCCGCUUGCCGAUGCAGGGGA